Podarcis lilfordi (Lilford's wall lizard) is the source of this 368-nucleotide non-coding RNA. Lineage: Eukaryota; Metazoa; Chordata; Lepidosauria; Squamata; Lacertidae. The record is from the annotation of a GenBank genome assembly.
UGUAGGAAAAUGGUUGUUUGUACCUACAUGACAAGAUGGAUGCCAGGAUGGGAAUUUACUAUAGUUUGACCUUUUGAUACUGCAGGCUGUGUUAGGCAUGAUGAGCGCGUGAUCGCCUCAUGCAAGGAAGGUGAUUGGUUCUUAUUGUAUGGCUUGAUAAUGGGGUGAUCCCCAUAUUUGGUGUUUGCCUUGCAUGAUGAUUGAUACACUGUUGUACUGUUCUUAAUAAAAAUGCUGGGCUGCAGCUCCAGAGAGCUUCUUUUUCUCUCUCUCUCCUGAGGCUGCUAGACCCUUUGCAAAAAAGCAUCCUGGUGUGAGACUGAUUUAUUUUUGUGACGAGCAGGCCCUCGUCAUCCCUGCCCUCGUCA